AAGGCUAUAGCUUAAUUAAAGUAUCUGCGUUGCAUGCAGGAGAUGUGGGGUAGAAUCCCGCUAGUCUUA
This 69-nucleotide transfer RNA is filed under the name Dactyloptena orientalis (oriental flying gurnard). RNAcentral describes it as "tRNA-Ala". It matches the Rfam family "tRNA". Rfam says of the family: Transfer RNA (tRNA) molecules are approximately 80 nucleotides in length. Lineage: Eukaryota; Metazoa; Chordata; Actinopteri; Syngnathiformes; Dactylopteridae. The record is from RNAcentral. RNAcentral also lists the same sequence under 1 other name.